Molecule: long non-coding RNA, 289 nt
Organism: Aethina tumida (small hive beetle)
Lineage: Eukaryota; Metazoa; Arthropoda; Insecta; Coleoptera; Nitidulidae
Exons: 2
Source: RefSeq, a predicted model, not a curated record
CCAACAUCAGUCUCCAACAAGACAUAGUCAGAACAUUGAUAACAACUAAGUUGAAAGAUCACGAUGAAAUUCAUUUCUAUCAUCUUUUUGAUUGUUUUUGCCCUCGUGGCCCUCCAAGAUGUCGCAUUCGCUUGCAUCAAGAACCGUGAUGGUUGCCAGCCAGAUGGAAGGCAAGGAAACUGUUGCUCUGGAUAUUGCCACAAGCAACCUGGAUGGGUUGCCGGUUAUUGUAAAUAGAUAUGCCUAAAUUAUCAGCUAAUGGACUGAAUAUAUUCUAACAAAUUUUUCA